UAGCUAUGGUAAUGAAGAUUCUAUUGGUGGAGUAAAACAUAAAACUCAGAAACACAGACGAGCUGAGAGUAGAGAGGCCGGGCUUCCUUCCCCAUGGGAGAAGUGGUUACGAAAGGAGCCUCACCUAGACUGUCCUUGCCUCACAUUU
Molecule: small nucleolar RNA, 148 nt
Filed under: Myotis lucifugus (little brown bat)
Lineage: Eukaryota; Metazoa; Chordata; Mammalia; Chiroptera; Vespertilionidae
Description: Small Cajal body specific RNA 21 (ENSMLUG00000021957.2)
Rfam family: Small Cajal body specific RNA 21 (bases 42-148)
About the family: scaRNAs are a specific class of small nuclear RNAs which localise to the Cajal bodies and guide the modification of RNA polymerase II transcribed spliceosomal RNAs U1, U2, U4, U5 and U12.
Source: RNAcentral